UAGAUGUACAUUAGGGUAGAAAUAGAGAGAGGCGAUGAAACAGAGAGAGGUGGACACGGAGAAAGAAGCAGAGAAAGAGAGAGGCUAUGAAAUCAAAAAGUUUCAAAAAAUGAUUUUGCAAACCCAAAACCUAGGCAGAACGAAAAAAUAGAGAAGGCACGUCGUGGGGACUGGGGAGAAAGAAAAAUCUGCCACCAUCAGAGAAAUAGGCCGUGUACCCAUAACAGAUUUAGAUUUUUAAAUAAUUUACUCAUACGCUGCAUAUAACCUAUCCCCUCUCUCAUCCGUCUUUCUUCUCGCUGCCACUCUCUAAUGCGCAAACCCAAAUCGUGAGAUAGAGUUCGUAAGAGGGAUAAUCGUUUCUGUACAAAUUAAAAGAAAAAAGUCUGGGAUAGAGAGAGGGAGUUCACUAGGCCGUAUGCCCGCUAAAGUCCGUUCUCCCACCACCAUCAGACUCCUGUAACCCCACAGAGAAAGAUACAGUCACAAAGAGAGAAAGUUCGUAUGGCGCCAAGAGAGAAAUAUCUAAGUUCCACCAUUACUGUCAAUUUUUCUACCGCCAUCCGUUCUGUUCUCUCGCUGGACUCAAAACACCGAAACCACAAGCACACACUGGAAUUGAGAUUGAGGAACAGAAAUCUAAGUGCCAUUAACUCCGUCGAUCAGGCCAUUUACCUGCCAUCAUCAGAUCACUGAAACUGCCAUCGGAUUUGAUUAUCAAAGGUGAUACAACCUCAACAUCAACACUAAGGGAGAGUGAUUGCAGGAAAAAUAGUCUCUACUUUCAACUUAUGAUGAAGUUUGAAAGUUUUUCAGUUUCUCCUACAAAGCAAUUUGGACAUGUAGUGGAAAUAAAAAAUGUUGUUGUGGGAAAAUCAAAGAAUGACGACUCCAUUGAAAAUCACUUUUUGAUGCACCAUUUAAUUAUGACGUUUGCCAAAUGCUUCAUAAACGUCACAAGACUACUAAACAGAAUGCAUCCAAUAGGGAAAAGAAUUGAAUAGGGUACAAUAGCAACUUAUUGCUAAACUUCUAUGAUAUAACAUUUAUGUUAAGAUGAUUUGUACGGCUAUAUAAGAAUUUUUAUGAUAUAACGUUUAUAUAAUUAGAGUUUAUCUGUGGUUGAUUUCACACUCAAUUAAAUUGUAAUUUCCUACUAAAAUUUUAUUGUAUUUUAUAGAAAGCAUUCAUAUGAUUAACAAACUUUACAUGUUUUAACAUGACUAAUACAUAAAGUACUCCUGUGCAAUUGGGUUUAUUUAUGUAAAUCUGAAUGAAUUGGGUUUAUUUAUGUAAAUCUGAAUGCAUGUCAAUUGCAAAUACAACUGCAUUUUUUAUUUAUAGAAAUUUAUUGUUGAUGAUAAAUGGUGAUUUUAAAGAGUUGGGAGUUUGGUCAUGCCAAAUCAAAGAAUCAAAAAGAUACUGUUAACAUUUUUUUGGGUUGAAUAAAAAGUACAGAAAAGUUACCCCAAAAAAAAGAAACUGCAAUAAAAGUUACUUUGUGGAAUAGCCCGCGCAUUGCGCGGGUUAAAGGCUAGUUUCUAUAAUUGAGAUAGACUACUUGACUUAGUACUAGUUACAUAUGACUUGAUUGAAUUGAUCAUUG
Molecule: long non-coding RNA, 1606 nt
Organism: Quercus lobata
Lineage: Eukaryota; Viridiplantae; Streptophyta; Magnoliopsida; Fagales; Fagaceae
Exons: 6
Source: RefSeq, a predicted model, not a curated record